UACGGAGGGUGCAAACGUUGCUCGGAAUCAUUGGGCGUAAAGCGCACGUAGGCGGCCUGAUAAGUCGGGUGUGAAAUCCCUGGGCUCAACCCAGGAAGUGCACUCGAAACUGUCAGGCUUGAAUAUGGAAGAGGGUCGCGGAAUUCCCGGUGUAGAGGUGAAAUUCGUAGAUAUCGGGAGGAACACCAGUGGCGAAGGCGGCGACCUGGGCCAAUAUUGACGCUGAGGUGCGAAAGCGUGGGGAGCAAACAGG
Molecule: ribosomal RNA, 253 nt
Filed under: uncultured bacterium
Lineage: Bacteria
Description: partial 16S ribosomal RNA
Rfam family: Bacterial small subunit ribosomal RNA
Source: RNAcentral